Molecule: transfer-messenger RNA, 359 nt
Filed under: Ignavibacteriaceae
Lineage: Bacteria; Pseudomonadati; Ignavibacteriota; Ignavibacteria; Ignavibacteriales
Also listed under: 1 other name
Description: RBG-16-34-14 sp001802865 Standard tmRNA
Rfam family: transfer-messenger RNA
About the family: Bacterial tmRNA, also known as 10Sa RNA or SsrA, is named for its dual tRNA and mRNA-like properties.
Source: RNAcentral
GGGGGUGAAAUUGGUUUCGACGGGGUUGAAGAGACAUUGAACUGCACACCGUGUUCCCCGAGUACACGUAAAACAAUUGGGAAUAAAACAAUAACUGGCGAAUAUAACUACGCCUUAGCUGCUUAAUUAAAUGAGCAGCCGUUCUCCUUUCUCUCUCAUACCGGGGUUUGGAAGAACGUCGUUUAGGUAUGAUAGCUGAUUCUGUUGCCUGUGCAGAUAAAGCGAAUUUUUAAGCAGGUAAGCUUAAAGUGAUCCACGUUUGUUUGGUAGCUUUAAGUUAAAAUAAAAACAGACUAAGUGUGUAGAUGUUCUUUGGAUCCUAACUUCGGACGCGGGUUCGACUCCCGCCACCUCCACCA